This 253-nucleotide ribosomal RNA is filed under the name uncultured bacterium. Its description in RNAcentral is "partial 16S ribosomal RNA". It matches the Rfam family "Bacterial small subunit ribosomal RNA", at positions 524 to 776 of the family's 1533-position model. The record is from RNAcentral.
UACGGGGGGGGCAAGCGUUGUUCGGAAUUACUGGGCGUAAAGGGCUCGUAGGCGGCCAACUAAGUCAGACGUGAAAUCCCUCGGCUUAACCGAGGAACUGCGUCUGAUACUGGAUGGCUUGAAUCCGGGAGAGGGAUGUGGAAUUCCAGGUGUAGCGGUGAAAUGCGUAGAUAUCUGGAGGAACACCGGUGGCGAAGGCGGUUGCCUGGGGCUUUGCUGACGCUGAGGCGCGAAAGCGUGGGGAGCGAUCCGG